This 253-nucleotide ribosomal RNA is filed under the name uncultured bacterium. Its description in RNAcentral is "partial 16S ribosomal RNA". It matches the Rfam family "Bacterial small subunit ribosomal RNA", at positions 524 to 776 of the family's 1533-position model. The record is from RNAcentral.
UACGGGGGGAGCAAGCGUUGUUCGGAUUUACUGGGCGUAAAGCGCACGUAGGCGGAUCGUUAAGUCGGGGGUGAAAUCCUGGAGCUCAACUCCAGAACUGCCUUCGAUACUGGCGAUCUUGAGUCCGGAAGAGGUGAGUGGAACUCCUAGUGUAGAGGUGGAAUUCGUAGAUAUUCGCAAGAACACCAGUGGCGAAGGCGGCUCACUGGCCCGAUACUGACGCUGAGGCACGAAAGCGUGGGGAGCAAACAGG